This 2753-nucleotide long non-coding RNA is filed under the name Homo sapiens (human). Its description in RNAcentral is "HSALNT0296375". Lineage: Eukaryota; Metazoa; Chordata; Mammalia; Primates; Hominidae. The record is from RNAcentral.
GCUGCGGGCCGCCCGCCCGGACGCAAGGCACAGGGGGACGCCCCGCCGAGCCGCUGCCCACUGCACCGAGUUUUUCGGAGGCUGGGAGAGGAAAUGCCACUUGGAUUUUAAAACCGUCACCGAUACGCUAUAGAGUGGGACAUUCCUGUGUGGAGCUCCGAGAAUACAUGCCGGCACUGCCUGUGCCUGGGGCUGUGCUGGCUCCCACCCAGCUGCAGGAAUGAGGGACCACGCCCUGCUUUCUCUACCUCCAGUCGUUUUCUGAGGACCGGCUUGGUGGGUGCUGAUGCCUGCCUGGAAGACCUCACACCCACAGUGUCUUAGAAGAUUCUGAAAGCAGUGUGAGACCAGAAUGACCAGCAAAGGAGAAAAGAACAAGGACACAUUGCAGCCAAAAUGGAGCUAGAAUCUUGCCUCUGUCCAUCCUUCACUGGAGUUAUCCUGGAUGGAGAAGGAACCAUAUCACCUGCAAAGCCUGGAAGGGGAGCCCUGCUGUGAGCGAUCCAGUGUUCAAGCUGGUCAUCAGGAGAAAGCUACUUAUGAUUUCCUAACAAGCCACCACAGAACAUCACAUUCCCAAACAUGCUCUUCACCGUCCCUGCUGUCCCCACGUGCCUAGCCCUGGUGUGGGCAGGAAUGAGUGGGAUUGGGAUGUUUUCUCACAGGUCUUUCUCAGGUGAGGCCCCAGGCUGUGACCAGGCCCCUGCCCUGCAUGUGACUCAGGCCUAGCCCCUGCUGGGGCAGGAAUGCCACCCAGCACAGCAUCCUACUGGUGCCUGAAUAAAGAAUGGACUGGAGGUUCACCUGAAAGGGGCUGCCAGGUUUCUGCGGGGGCCAGCCAACGGCUCACAAUGACCCUGUGUUCGACUCAUCUUACGAUGAAAUUUUUCAGCUUGACGAACUUUUACUCAUCUUUCAAGGCUCGGCUCAAAUGUUAUUUCCCUGGGAAAACUGCGCUACUUUCAGCAAAAUGCAUUUCCUUUUGAUGGGCAUCUGUUUUUUUCUUUCUUUCUUUCUUUCUUUUUUUUUUUUUUUUUUUUUUUUUUGAGACAGGGUCUUGCUCUCUUGUCCAGGCUGGAGUGCAGUGGUGCAAUCUUGGCUCACUGAACCUUCACAAUGGGCAUCUGUUUCUGUUCUAUGGAGUGACCUAAAAGUCAAGAAUCAUGGAGAAAUUGGGAGCAAUGGCUCACGCCUGUAAAUCCCAGCACUUUGGGAGGCUGAGGCAGGCGGAUCACUUGAGGCCAGGAGUUCGAGACCAGCCUGGCCAACAUGGUGAAACCCCGUCUCUACUAAAAAUACAAAAAAAAAAAAAUCUGUUAGCUGAGCACUGUGGCGUGCGCCUGUUAUCCCAGCUACUCGGGAGGUUGAGGCACAAGAAUUGCUUGAAGCUGGGAGGGGGAGGUUGCGGUGAGCCGAGAUCAAGCCACUGCACUCCAGCCUUGGUGACAGAGUGAAACUGUGUCUCAAAAAUUUUAAAAAAAAAAAAAUCAUGGGGAGAAUUUAUUGUUAAACAGAAUAUUAGUUACAUUUUCAAAUAAUACAGUCAAUAUGUUUUUCUGUAACCUUUAGAUAUGUUUUCAGGUGAAGUACCUCUAAAUGUAAAGAAAUGGGUCCAAUUGUUAAUUUUUUUUAAAGGUUCAAGAAAUACACUACUUUCUCUGGCUUUUUCCUUACAACUCUUUUUUUUUUUUUUUUUUUUUUGAGAUGAAGUCUUGCUCUGUCACCCAGGCUGGAGUGCAGUGGCAUGAUCUCAGCCCACUGCAACCUCCACCUCCCGGGUUCAAGCGAUUUUCCUGCCUCAGCCUCCUGAGUAGCUGGGAUUACAGGCACACGUCACCACACCCGGCUAAUUUUUGUAUUUUUAGUAGAGACAGGAUUUUGCCAUGUUGGCCAGGCUUGUCUCAAACUCCUGACUUCAGGUCAUCCGCCUGCCUUAGCCUCUCAAAGUGCUGGGAUUAUAGGCUUGAGCCACUGUGCCCUGGCCUCUUGUACCUUUUUUACAUUAACAACUGGACUCGCUUUAAAUGUAGAGAUACUUCCUGAAAUGGUGUGUGAAGGUUGAAGAAAAACAUGAGCAUAUUAUUUGAAAAUGUGGCUAAAGUUCUGUUUUAAAGUAAGUUUAUGGUAAUAUUUCUAACUUUUCAGAUGCUCUGUAGUUCUUGGCACAUUUUUCACUAAUAUUUGGUGACAGGUCUGUCCCCGUUAAAAAUUGAGAAUUCCACAAAGCCUGGGAUAUGUUUUAUUCUUCUUUGACUCUUCACUCCCCAGCUAACCACCAUGCAGUGGGCAAUCAUAAGGGUUUAAUGAAUGAAUAAAUGAUCAAGUCAGGUAGGUUUUCCCCGAAUUCUUGUCUUUGGGGCUGAACCCAGGGUAGGUUUCCUGGCAUCAUUCCUGUGUUUUCUACUCUCCCUCCCUAAUCCUCUGAAAGUUUGAACAAAAAUAAGAUUAUGGGCCAGGUGUGGUGGCUCACGCCUGUAAUCCCAGCACUUUGGGAGGCUGAGGUGGGAGGAUGGCUUGAGCCCAGGGGUUUGAGACUAGCCUGGGCAACAUGGCGAAAUCCCGUCUCUACAAAAAAUAGAAAAAUUAUCUGGGUGUGGUGGUGCGCACCUGUAGUCCCAGCUACUCGGGAAGCUGAGGUGGGAGGAUCACCUGAGCCCGAGGAGGUCCAGGCUGCAGUGAACCAAGAUCACAUCACUACACUCCAGCCUGAGUGACAGAGUGAGACCCUGUCUCAAAAAAUAAAAAUAAAAAUA